Molecule: transfer RNA, 83 nt
Filed under: Thermoleophilia bacterium
Lineage: Bacteria; Bacillati; Actinomycetota; Thermoleophilia
Description: tRNA-Leu
Rfam family: tRNA
About the family: Transfer RNA (tRNA) molecules are approximately 80 nucleotides in length.
Source: RNAcentral
GGGGACGUGGCGGAACGGUAGACGCGGCGGACUCAAACUCCGCUCAUGGAAACAUGGUGUGGGUUCGACUCCCACCGUCCCCA